AACGAACGCUGGCGGCAUGCCUAACACAUGCAAGUCGAACGAGACCUUCGGGUCUAGUGGCGCACGGGUGCGUAACGCGUGGGAACCUGCCCUUAGGUUCGGAAUAACUCCCCGAAAGGGGUGCUAAUACCGGAUAAUGUCUUCGGACCAAAGAUUUAUCGCCUUUGGAUGGGCCCGCGUUGGAUUAGCUAGUUGGUAGGGUAAAAGCCUACCAAGGCGACGAUCCAUAGCUGGUCUGAGAGGAUGAUCAGCCACACUGGGACUGAGACACGGCCCAGACUCCUACGGGAGGCAGCAGUGGGGAAUAUUGGACAAUGGGCGAAAGCCUGAUGCAGCAAUGCCGCGUGAGUGAUGAAGGCCUUAGGGUUGUAAAGCUCUUUUACCCGGGAUGAUAAUGACAGUACCGGGAGAAUAAGCCCCGGCUAACUCCGUG
This 433-nucleotide ribosomal RNA is filed under the name uncultured bacterium. Its description in RNAcentral is "partial 16S ribosomal RNA". It matches the Rfam family "Bacterial small subunit ribosomal RNA", at positions 29 to 507 of the family's 1533-position model. The record is from RNAcentral.